GAUGAACGCUGGCGGCGUGCCUAAUACAUGCGAGUCGAACGCUGGAGAUCUAGCUUGCUAGCUCGAAGGAGUGGCGAACGGGUGAGUAAUACAUAAGCAACCUACCCACGAAGACUGGGAUAAUCUCUGGAAACGGGGACUAAUACCGGAUAGGUAAUCGGAAGGCAUCUUCUGGUUAUUAAAGGUUAAAAACACUGGUGGAUGGGCUUAUGGCGCAUUAGUUAGUUGGUGAGGUAACGGCCCACCAAGACGAUGAUGCGUAGCCGGCCUGAGAGGGUGAACGGCCACAUUGGGACUGAGACACGGCCCAGACUCCUACGGGAGGCAGCAGUAGGGAAUUUUCGGCAAUGGGGGCAACCCUGACCGAGCAACGCCGCGUGAGUGAAGACGGCCUUCGGGUUGUAAAGCUCUGUUGUAAGGGAAGAACGGUAGAUAGAGAAUAUCUAAGUGACGGUACCUUACCAGAAAGCCACGGCUAACUACGUG
RNAcentral lists this ribosomal RNA (486 nucleotides) under uncultured bacterium. Its description in RNAcentral is "partial 16S ribosomal RNA". It matches the Rfam family "Bacterial small subunit ribosomal RNA", at positions 28 to 507 of the family's 1533-position model. The record is from RNAcentral.